GUUUGCUAGUAUUAGGUUGAUGCAAAAUUAAUUGCUGUUUUGCCAUUGCUUUUAAUUGCAAAAACUGUAAAUACUUUUGCACCAAACUAAUAUUUUGUUGAGAAUGCUUGCAUUAAUGUUCAUCAGAGUUAUUGGCCUAUAGUUUUUUUUUUUUUUAAUGAUGUGUCUUUUUAUGGUUUUGGUAUCAGGAUAAUAAUGACCUUGUAGAGUGAGUCUGGAAGUAAUUAUUACUUCCAUAGUUUAAGUAGGAAUGGUAUUCAUUCUUCUUGAAAUGUUUGGUAAAUUUCAGCAGUGAAGCUGUUAAGUCCCAGGUUUCCUAUGCUGGGAGACUUUUCAUUGCAUUUUUGACCUCAUUAUCUUUUAUAGGUCUGCUCAGGUUUUAGAUUUCUUAAUGGUUAAAUCUUAGUAGGUUGUGUCUAGGAAUUUAUUCAUUUCUUCUAGCUUUUUCAAUUUGUUGGCAUAUAAUUGCUCACGGUAGUCUCUAAUAAUUCUUUGAAUUUCUGCAUUAUCAGUUUUAAUGACUUUUUUC
RNAcentral lists this long non-coding RNA (529 nucleotides) under Homo sapiens (human). RNAcentral's name for it is "HSALNT0057908". Lineage: Eukaryota; Metazoa; Chordata; Mammalia; Primates; Hominidae. The record is from RNAcentral.